This 292-nucleotide ribosomal RNA is filed under the name uncultured bacterium. RNAcentral's name for it is "partial 16S ribosomal RNA". It matches the Rfam family "Bacterial small subunit ribosomal RNA", at positions 505 to 796 of the family's 1533-position model. The record is from RNAcentral.
GUGCCAGCCGCCGCGGUAAAACGUAGGUUCCGAGCGUUAUCCGGAUUUACUGGGCGUAAAGCGUGUUCAGGCGGCUCAGCCAGUCGGGCAUGAAAUCUCUCGGCUCAACCGGGAGAGGCUGUCCGAUACUGCUGGGCUUGAGGGCAGGAGAGGGUGGUGGAAUUCCGGGUGUAGUGGUGAAAUGCGUAGAUAUCCGGAGGAACACCAGUGGCGAAAGCGGCCACCUGGUCUGCACCUGACGCUCAAACACGAAAGCUAGGGGAGCGAACGGGAUUAGAUACCCCUGUAGUCC